AGAGUUUGAUCCUGGCUCAGAAUCAACGCUGGCGGCGCGCCUAACACAUGCAAGUCGAACGAGAAAGCAGGAGCAAUCUUGUGAGUAAAGUGGCGUACGGGUGAGUAACACGUGGAUUAUCUACCUUCUAGUGGGGGAUAACCCUGGGAAACCGGGGCUAAUACCGCAUAAGCUCGAGAGAGGAAAGCAGCAAUGCGCUGGAAGAGGAGUCCGCGGCCGAUUAGCUAGUUGGUAGGGUAAAAGCCUACCAAGGCUACGAUCGGUAGCCGGCCUGAGAGGGCGCACGGCCACACUGGCACUGAAACACGGGCCAGACUCCUACGGGAGGCAGCAGUGGGGAAUCUUGCACAAUGGGGGCAACCCUGAUGCAGCGACGCCGCGUGAGCGAUGAAGCCCUUCGGGGUGUAAAGCUCUUUCGGCAGGGAAGAUUAUGACGGUACCUGCAGAAGCAGCUGCGGCUAACUACGUGCCAGCAGCCGCGGUAAUACGUAGGCAGCAAGCGUUGUUCGGAGUUACUGGGCGUAAAGGGUGUGUAGGCGGUUCUCUAAGUCUGGUGUGAAAUCUCCCGGCUCAACUGGGAGGGUGCGCCGAAAACUGGAGGACUAGAGUGCGGGAUGGGAGAGUGGAAUUCCUGGUGUAGCGGUGAAAUGCGUAGAUAUCAGGAGGAACACCUGUGGUGUAGACGGCUCUCUGGACCGCAACUGACGCUGAGACACGAAAGCGUGGGUAGCAAACAGGAUUAGAUACCCUGGUAGUCCACGCCCUAAACGAUGCAUAUUUGGUGUGGGCCAUUCAUUUGGUCUGUGCCGGAGCUAACGCGUUAAAUAUGCCGCCUGGGGAGUACGGUCGCAAGGCUGAAACUCAAAGGAAUUGACGG
Molecule: ribosomal RNA, 877 nt
Filed under: uncultured bacterium
Lineage: Bacteria
Description: bacterial SSU rRNA
Rfam family: Bacterial small subunit ribosomal RNA
Source: RNAcentral